Long non-coding RNA from Peromyscus eremicus (cactus mouse), 737 nucleotides. RefSeq lists it as uncharacterized. The record is from RefSeq and is a predicted model, not a curated record. Lineage: Eukaryota; Metazoa; Chordata; Mammalia; Rodentia; Cricetidae. The transcript has 3 exons.
CAGAGGCCAGCAAGACGGCUCAGCGGUUACACAGAGCAAAUGUCUGUUGUGUGCAACCAGUCUGGUAGAGAUUGCAAUAAACGUGUUAAGCAAUGAAGACUGAUAGGAUCAGACAUGAAUAGGGAUGCCCAACCCCACUCUCUUGACAUGGUUUCUCUGUGUGACAACUCUGGUUGUCCUGGAAUUCACUCUGUAGACCAGGCUUGCCUGCCUCUGCAUCCCGAGUGCUGAUUAAAGGCGUACACCACCACACCUGACUUCAACUGAACUCCUAAGGAAACAGUACACAUGGCCUCCUAAAGCUACAAACUAAACUCUAGGCAACCUAUAUGUAAGCUGUAUUUCUGGAUGACAUACUAUCCUCCAGGAAAUUUUUAGUUUUUAACUCUGAUAAGAAAAAAAAAAGUAUCGAACUCUAAUAAGCAAGCACUUAUUUAAAAUCAGUGAGUCAGGAGCACUGACAUAUACCUGGAAGGCUGAGGCAAGAGGAGCUGUUGAGCCCAAGAGUUCAAUACUAGCAAAUGCAGCACAGCGAGACGCCACCUCCAAACCAACCAACCAACACAACGUGAACCCUCUCGGUUUAUUUGAGACAGUGUCAAAGCUGGACACGAACUCACCAUUGGGCUGAGGACGGCCUUGAAUUCCCACCGCCUGCUGUUACUUCCAAAGCACUGUGACUACAUGCAUGUGCCACCACACUGUGCGCCACCAACUCCAAAGAACUUCUAAACAAC